UAUCUCUGUAGAGUCUGCAUAUCAAUAAGCGGAGGAAAAGAAACUAACUAGGAUUCCCUCAGUAACGGCGAGUGAAGCGGGAAGAGCUCAAAUUUGAAAUCUUCAAGGUUCUACCUUGACGAAUUGUAGUUUAAAGGAGUGUUUUCUGUUGGAGUUUUGGUAAAAGUUCUUUGGAAUAGGACAUCAUAGAGGGUGAGAAUCCCGUAUUUGACCAUUACUUUCCAGCUUUGUGAUACACUUUCAAAGAGUCGGAUUGUUUGGGAAUGCAGUCCAAAAUGGGUGGUAAAUUUCAUCUAAAGCUAAAUAUUGGCGAGAGACCGAUAGCGAACAAGUACCGUGAGGGAAAGAUGAAAAGAACUUUGAAAAGAGAGUUAAACAGUACGUGAAAUUGUCAAAAGGGAAGCGUUUGACACCAGUGUUGUUUUCUCGAAAAUCAAUUAAAAAAGGCAGGAUUUUGUGUUGUAUUGACUUUAUCAGCUUUCUGCACUCUUUUCUUGUCCUUUUUAAUGCACUUUUCGUUUAACAGGUCAACAUCAAUUUCUUUUGUUGUAAAAGGGUCAUUGGAAGGUGGCUUUCUUUUCGGAGAAAGUGUUUAUAGCCUUUGGCCUCUGCAAUCGGAGAGAUUGAGGUCUGCAGCGUAGAUCCUUCGGGGUUAGAUACAUUUGUGCUAAGUUAUAGCCUUUCAUAGACAACUUGCUGACUAUGAUCAGUCAUGUAGCUUACUCGCUUAUGCUAUUUUACCUACGCUUAGGAUGUUGACGAUCAGCUGAGCGCG
This 775-nucleotide ribosomal RNA is filed under the name uncultured Neocallimastigales. RNAcentral describes it as "partial large subunit ribosomal RNA". It matches the Rfam family "Eukaryotic large subunit ribosomal RNA", at positions 24 to 627 of the family's 3401-position model. Lineage: Eukaryota; Fungi; Neocallimastigomycota; Neocallimastigomycetes; Neocallimastigales. The record is from RNAcentral.